Long non-coding RNA from Lolium perenne, 1409 nucleotides. RefSeq lists it as uncharacterized. Lineage: Eukaryota; Viridiplantae; Streptophyta; Magnoliopsida; Poales; Poaceae. The record is from RefSeq and is a predicted model, not a curated record.
GCUUCGAACGCCGCCACGCCUGCACUCAUCCCUGGCUGCAGUCUCCCCCGCGGCCGGGAUGCAAGCUCUCGUGCUCCGAGCGGCUGUGCGCGUGACCUCGAGGGCGGACGGCGGCACUGGGAGGAGGCCCCGCCGGCCGCAUGCGUGAGUCAGCGUUCCACGAGGAUCUCUCUGUCUAGCGUGGCAGAUUCCAGGAAGGCUCCGCUGGCGCCAAAUCUGGGCGCGUGAGGGCAGGACUAGCACAUUCAAGGCGGGCUUUGCCGGCGCCAGAUCCGGGGAUCGUGAGGCCAGGAGCAGCAAAUGCUUGCAGCUUACGUGGGAGAGCAACGACAGAGUACAACAAGAGGAGCUGCUGCAACUCAGUUGUGCGACGCUCCCAUUCGAGACCAUGGUGGUCCCAAGGCCUAGGCUCUUCCCACGGUGACCUUCCUGCGUGCACAAGCGAGGCGACCAGAAACAGCCGCCGCGCCUCCGGAGCAGAGGCUCCAAACACGGGACCAUUGAGACAAACAUUCGAUGUGUGCUUGCGCCUGGCAUGACGGCCAGACGCCCGGACCACGACGGCGUGCGCGAGAAUUGCAGUACACGACUGCUGCUGCUGGUGUCAACUGUCAAAUAGUAGUAGUAGUGUACUACUCAAAUUGGAGGCUUCUGAUUUUUCCCGCUCUACUGGAGGAGAGCGGUGGAGCUCGACACCGAGAUCGAGGCGUGUGUUGGAGCUUCUUGGAGAUGGUGGCUAGAAUCGGGCAGCACAUGGCGGCUACACAGGCGGCCGGGAGAGUAUCGAGCUGCUAGGGCCUGCUGCUGCUGGUUAGCUUUGUCGACGGGAGGCUGCAGCACUUAAGGCGGACAUCAAAUUCCGAGGUGACCGCCAACUUCAUGCCCACAGAAGCUUUGGGUAGGGUUGGCGACGCGAGAAAUCCUCUGUUCACCCGACUAAGAGCAACAUGCGGCAUUCCAGAUCUAAACAAGAUCUUUGGAGAGUCAACCAUUGUUUUAAUUUUUGGGGAGUUGGUUAACGUAUUUGAAUGCUUCUUACAUAUUUUGUGUCUGUGUGAUCUUUGGAGUGUAGCAGUGGUGAAAACAACUUGAUGUUUGUUGCACGUGUAGGUAGUGCAACACAUGCAUAAGACACACUUGACGCCCUCUAUCGUCCACAGUUUGUUUUUGUGUACUAAGUCAACCAGUUAGUUGUAGUGUUUCUGGCAUAUGUCCUACUUCAUUAUCCACAUCUACUUCAUAAGAGCAGGAUUUGCAUUCUAUGAAACCAAUUCUAUUUACUGGUGUGAAAUAUGAUUCUUUAACUGUUGAGCUCAUCUUUGGGUCUACUACAAUAUUUGUACACUGAACUUCUUCUCUGGGUGUUCAGAAGUAACAACAACAUACCAAUGGAAGGUUGCUGCUAUAAA